Molecule: non-coding RNA, 4420 nt
Organism: Nothobranchius furzeri (turquoise killifish)
Lineage: Eukaryota; Metazoa; Chordata; Actinopteri; Cyprinodontiformes; Nothobranchiidae
Source: RefSeq, a predicted model, not a curated record
AGUGAUCCUUCUGAUAAAACAGAAUCAUUUAGUUCUUGAUCGCUGUAAUCUUCACGUUCCUUAUUCAUAUGCAUGUAUAUAUUAUUUUCUAGAUACUUUUCAGGGUCAUGUAUCUUAAAUGAGUUAUUUUUGUCAGCUUGAAUUUACACCCAAAAAUAUAACGCUUUGUUUCAGUGUUACUCUGCCCACGCCUGCUCCAGCAAAACAUGCCUACAACAGCAUCUUAGGCGAGUAAGUUGCUGUAUCCGUCGUUGUCAGACACGUGACCUGCAUGUCAACCACACCCCCCAGCAUCAUUUUAGGUGUAUAACACACAUUGCUAGGGGAAGCCACAGCUGAAAUUGAAGCAGCACACGAGUCAUAAGCAUGGAUAAAAAAGAAGAAGGAUGAAUUUAUGCAGUACAUUGUAGAGUACCUCAAAUGAAACAAACAAAGCUAAGACGUUUCACUACUGCCAAAAAUGUCACUUGAGUAAGAGUAGUACUAGAGGCCGACCCAUGUGGGAGUUUUUAAAGGCUGAUGCCGAUACAGAAAAUUAAAGAAUUUAGUUGCCGAUAUCUAAAGCCGAUUAUUAAGACCGAUAUGAAUAUGUUUUAGCAGCCCAUUGAUUGUGCAAGACAACUGAACACUCACAGUGUGCAAUAUAAAUUAAAUAAGUUAAUAAAUCUCUUAUUAUUUAUUUAAUUUCAAAUAUAAAACACUCAAAACAUUAAAAAAAAAUGUGUGUUGAGGUCCUUCAGGUCCUUUCUUCAGUCUAGUAGUGGUGGCAGUUGGCCAAUCAGGUGCCUAAUAAAAAAUAAAUAAAUUUAACGGCUUAUAAUUUUGGCAGAUGGCUGAUAUAGAAAAAAAUUGAAUAUAUUGGUCAGCCUCUAAGUAGAACUACUUCAACAAAAUUAGAAUUAAGUAAAAAUAAAAAUUUGCCGCCCAAAAACAUUGCUCCACUAACACAGGCACUGUGCCAGGUUUUCAAUUUUGGAUUAGCCCAGACAAUAAUUUGUUUAAACAAGUCAUGAGUUGGUGGUGGUCAGGGUUAGGGUUAGCACACGAGUCAAAAGGAUGGAUACAAAAGAAGAAGGAUGAACUUAUGCAGUGCAUUGUAGAUCCCUACAACCUCAAAUGAAACAAACAGAGCUAAGACGUUUCACUACUCACAAAAAUGUCACUUGAGUAAGAGUAGUACUAGAGCAGGGUAUCUGCAGAUUUAAGGGAGCCGAAUUUAAGACUUUUAAAGACCUUUUUUAAGGCCACUUUGACCAAAUUUAAGCUAUUUUUUAAAUUAAAUUCAAGCUAUAAUUUCCAGCUAUUGCCUGGAACCGGUGCUAACCACAUCGCAAACGUGGGAUUACCCACCCAAUUACCAUUAAACUUGCACUUCCCCAUGGCGCAAGCUCCCACUAGCUUAACCAGCUAAUGUGCUCAUCUAAAAAUAGCCCCCUUUCACAACCAACUGAAUGUGUACGGUUCCGCUUACGCCAACAUCAUACCAAAAAAAUGCUGAAGACUAACUAUUAAUUCUUGUUCAUUGGGUCUUUGGUAAUUUAAGACCUUUGGAAACUGUAUUUAAAGGCACAGUCUGCAGGAUUUAAAUGUAGAAUAACUUUAAAAAUGUUUUAUUUUGACCAUCUGACCCAAUUUUAUUAAAAAAAGUAAAUAAUCUUUAAUAUUUCAAUUUUCUCCUAAGUCCCUCCCCUGCCCUGUAGAGCUCAGCCAAUAUUUCUGCAAGCCUAACGCGUUGACCAAUAGCGCUGCGUUACCACCAGGGGGCAGCUGUCAAUCAUCGAGCACGAGCAGGUCUCAGCGUGCACAACAGUGUCACGCGCCUCACUCGGCUUACUGCAGAAACAUAGAGCAACAAAACCCCAAAUUACCGAUUCCUCGACUGCCUUCCACAUCUCAAAAAACAUUUAAAAAGUUUAAAAGCCCUUCUUCAAAAGUGGCUGUAAGACGUUUGAGACAGUUGAGUAGAAUUUACAUUGGAGAUUGUUUUAAACGAUGGAGAGAUUUUCAUGAUCAACACGGCCUGAAAACGGAUGAAGAGUUGGCAAAGUAUCUUUUGGACAGGUAAGUUAUUUAUUGUUUUUCGGAUACAUUUACUUCAAAUCUUUCUUUCACUGAAGAAGUAAUAGAGCAAACCAGCUUUGUAUGCUUGGUGUCCUAUUGGCUAAUGUAGCAUUAGCUUGAAUGCUAAGUCGACAUGAAUCGAUGCUAGUCGAACUAUUUAUGCUAUAUUUGGAAUAUGUUUGAGUAACGAAAGGGGAUUUUAGUUUUAUUUGUAUGGGAGUUAAUGAGUAGUGUGGCGUUUAACUAUAGGCCAUAUCAGUGUAUUGUUUUAAGCUCUUGUUUAUAACUUCCCCGUUAGCGGGGUUCAGUUAGCAUCUUGAAUGCCGAAUUAGAUGUUUACACUUUCCUGAGCUGCGUGUUUGAUUAAAAUGAGUAAUCAGCAGCUCAUGUAGUACUUGUAGAAGUCUGAGGAGAUGAUUCAGCAGUUAGAAUUAGGUGUGAUUGAUCAGGAACGUAUCCAAAACCUUACGUUUCCAUCAGCACCGAAAGACAUAUUGUGCUAACCUGGGUGGGCCACGUGUACAGAUUACUGUCUGAUUUUGUGGUUAUACCUACGUGAAAACUCCAUAUUAAAAUAAAAGGAAUGAUAAUCAGCUCGUGCAGAAAUCUGUGAAGGCUGGGGAGACUUGUUUAGCUUGUGAUCACUAAUUUUUGGGCUUUGUUUUUUACAGUCAUCAGUCCAAAUAUGAAGUAUCAACAUCUACACCAUUGAAACGCCAACUGUUUAUUUCUCCAACACCAGUGCCAGCUUUGUCGAGCAUUCAUGGUGAAUCAUCUGAAAGGUAAAUAGCUGCCUAUAAACCUCUACCAGGAAUAUUAUAAUUUUGCCUCUGUUUGUUUUAAGUUAGUGGUGGAUUAUUUUGAAACAAUUCUAGAAAUUGGAUAAUGAAUGACUAUAAAAAAAUGUAUAGAAAUAAAUAGUAAAACUACAUUUUAUAUAGCGCCUCUCAAGAUAAAACUCUUGAGGCGCUUCACAACAACAAAAUUAAAAAUAUUUAAAAAAAAUAUAUUUUUAUUUCAAAGUUUAUGAGAAAAAAUAACACAAAUGUAUUUUUAAAAUGUAAAGAGAGAGACAGGAAAUUAUUUGUAAAGAAGGAAUUCAGUGGAUACAGAGAAAUGCGUAAUAAGUAGAGGGAGAAAAAUAAGGAGAUGGUGAUGAUGACGGCCAAUAGACGAGGUCUAUUACCUUCAAAAUGACAAAAUAUGUAUUGAUUCUAAUCAUAUUCUUGUGCUUGUAUUUUAUUUUCAUAGGGCUGAUAAUUUGGAGGAGGUGAUGGAACAAGGUGAAACUAAAAAAGAAGGAUCUUCACAAAUGUUAUCUUGUGUGGGAAUUGAAGCAAACAUUGACGAGGAAGAGUUCAACAAUAUUCAAAUCUCUGUGUAUGUAUUCAGAUGUUAAUAAAAUGUGUCUAAUUUUCCAUACUAAAAACUUUAUAUUGUGUAUAUUCAGGAUAGAGUCAUCAGAUGACACAUGGUCACCAAACAGAAACAAAAGUUGAUUUGUCUUCAGAGGAGGACGAAACCAUCGAGAUGGACAGCGGUACUGAUGACAGCGGUGAUGAGGACUACACACCUUAUAUACACAUAAGGACUGGAGCAGCAUUACAAAAAACAUUACAACUUGAGACUCUGCAAGAAAUUAACAUGGAGGAUACAGUUCAUGACUGUAAUAUCCCAGAAGCAACUGACCGACGUUUGACAAGCAAGAAAGGUCUUCCUCGACGCUACAAGCUAAGGCCUGAGGAUCCAAGGCGUUAUGGUUUGCUGUCCGGAGUUCCUGCACCAUCAACAGAGGAACUACUACAACACCUACGGACUUGCGGUGAUGGUAAAAUAAAACAUUAUCUGCCUUACAUCUUCCACACAAUAGUCCAUUGCUAAUUGAGUUUAUUUUUUAUUUACAGGUAAACUUUGCCACAGACAUAGGUGUUGGGGGAGGCAAGAGAAAACCCAAAACCUUCUUUAUUUUUGUUUCCUGUGUUUUUUUUGUGUGAAAAUAAAGAUAUAUUUUGGGGAAAUAAAGACUAAUAAUUUAAAAAUGUAUGUAAAAUGUUGGAGAUAGACAUAAUUUUUUGUUUUUGUGCAGGAGUUUUAAAAUUUAUGGUAUUUUUACAAAUACAAAACAAAGUCAUGCUUUAGAACACUUUAUUAGAGCAUCAAACAAAAAUAUCUAAAAACAAACUUAUGUAAAAUAUCAAAUAUAUACAUUUAUUUACAAUCGUCUUGGAAUAAAACCAGUGUAGUUACCACUGGGGUCAGGGAAUUUUGCAGAAUAAACUCCUCCAUGUGUGGUACAGUUGAAAUACAUGUCUGGGGAGGCUGUUGGCAGCAUUUCUUUUCCAAAUCAGUUGGCAUAUCU